Pseudophryne corroboree (corroboree frog) is the source of this 390-nucleotide long non-coding RNA. RefSeq lists it as uncharacterized. NCBI's taxonomy places the organism in Eukaryota, Metazoa, Chordata, Amphibia, Anura, Myobatrachidae. The record is from RefSeq and is a predicted model, not a curated record. The transcript is spliced from 3 exons.
CGUCCAAUCAUGUGACCGGCAACUGCCAGGAAGCCCGCCUUCCGGAGCUCUGGCGCAAUGGGUAGCAGGGGCUAGCGUGCACUUCCGCGUUGUGUGCUUCCUCUGUCUCAAGAACGUUCAUCCCAAAGCCGCUUUCCUAUUGGUUAAUGUCACACCCGGCAGCCGAGCCAGAGAUUUCAUUGGUGCUGGAGUUCCAGGCUGGACGUUCAAAUGAGGAGUUUCUUCUGCUGCUGGCUCUCUUCUCACUCUGCGGAGACAGAAUACAUGGUACAACUUCUGUCAGUGUAUGGGGAGACUGGAACUCAGGGGUGGCGCUCUGGUGAGAAGCGGGGGAGAGGGAGACAUGUAGCGACUGCAGCAGCUUCUCUGAGCCAGGAGUCCGCGGGAGAG